RNAcentral lists this long non-coding RNA (585 nucleotides) under Marmota monax (woodchuck). Lineage: Eukaryota; Metazoa; Chordata; Mammalia; Rodentia; Sciuridae. The record is from RNAcentral.
GUCCUACGAGCUGAACCGCGCGCUGCUUGCCGAGCUCGCGCCUACGAGGCCCCGGGACGCGGGAAGUGGCCCCAGGCCCGGGCCGCGUCACCACCGUAGCUGCCUGGUCAAGAUCUCCAGGGGCCUCUCUCCCCGUCUUCCACGCACAAUCCAGAACGAAAAUCCUGGGCCGCGUGGGCUUCGGACAUCCAGCUUCCGGGUUGUUAGGUGUUGAGGUUGAAAAGAAAUCAUCGUUUCUGUGGUGUGCAGGAGGCAGGGGAGGGGGACCUCUUAGUGUUGUCACACUUAGAACUAACAUAAAGCGCUAGUUUCCUAAUUCGGAGCGCGACCGAAAUAAAGGAAUGUGUACUUCAGAAGCCUCAUCCAAAAUACAGGCAACUGGCGAAGGAAGGAUUUGUGGUUGCUAAGCAGAGGCAGAGCAUGUUUAGCUCUGUAACUUAGGAUGUUGACUUAAGUUCAGGAAUGUAACCCUGAUAGAAUAAGCAGAGUAUUUUCAUUGUGCAGCUCACCUGGGGGAGGGGGAUUGUUUUCCUUGUGAGUGAAGCCCUAGAUUUCCCAUUACUCCUUCCUACUGAUGGAUGUUAU